AAACCAAGUAGCAACAGGGUUUAUAAGUUUCCGGUGAGCAAAUCGUUGCUGGUGUGAGUGUUGUCCAAACACAAAAAACGCAGCGUUCUGUUGUAGAAACGCGAUUGGUGGUAUCUUCCGGCGAUCCUAUCGGUGUGCGCACUGGAUAGCUUCCGUGGCCGGCCACCGACACGUGGCGAAGAGCCUUUAGGCCCAAGGCUCGCAUUGGACAGAGACGCAGUCGCAAUUAAAACCAAUAAAAUAAAUGAAUAAACAAAUGGUUUGUGCAGAAGCCAAGCGAGGAACCGGCGAAUAAACAAACUAACUGUUAUGUAUGCGCAUUGCGCACCUCACAACCAGAGUUCUGUCCAAUUCAAUGAACGGCGGCGAGGAGAGAGAGACAACAGCGUUCCGAGCUCUGGCGGAUCGGUGCCGGAGCCUCGAGGAGAAGCAGGCCAAGCUGAGGGAGGAAUUCGAUGAGCUACUGCAAAAGAAGCUCACAGUCAGGCACGAUAAGGAUAACGAGGUCAUUGCUGAUUCAACAACCUUCGGUUUUCUCUCCCGUUACUUCUUCUCCGGAAGUCCGUACGCAACCGUGCUGAAAUGUAUGGGCCACGCUGUUCACGUCGUCAGAGUUCCCUCCGCUGAGAUCGUAUACUGGAAUCACACCGCCGAAACUCUGUAUGGAUGGAAAGACUACGAAAUCAUUGGCCAAAGAGUAACUAAAGUCCUAAUUGCUGAGGAAAAUUAUGUAUCUCUACAAAACAUUCUGGAAAGGGUGGUUUCCGGAGUUCCAUGGUCUGGGAAGUUUCCUUUCAAAAAGAAAUCUGGUGAAGUAGUUAUGGCAUUGGUAACAAAAACUCCUCUUUAUGAGGGUGGUGAGCUUGUUGGUGUUAUAACUGUUUCAAGUGAUGCGGCUAUAUUAAAAUCUACAAAUUCAGAAAAUCAAACAUACAAGUCUGCUAGCAAUGGCCAACCUGGAGUACGGAGGUUAAACUUUAAAAGAAUUCAGUGGCCACCACGACCAACCAUUGCACCAAUGCCACAGAUUGCUUCAUCUGUUUCUAAUCUGGCAUCAAAGCUUCUCCCACUGCUGCAUAGUUCCGAUGACACAGUUUCCAAGAAUACUUCAACAGAUGGUGAUGAAAAGAUGGAGAAGCGUGGCAUAUAUGAAACAAAACCUUAUUCCAGACAUUUCCGUAAAGAAAACACAAUUGUCACGGAGGCCUCUGAGGAGAAUGAGUCGACUGCAGAAUUUGGCCAACCUUCUAAAAUUGCAGCCAAGCUUCAAACUGGGGUACGUGCAAAAUAUGGGAAGGAUAAUGGAAAAAUAAGAAAUAAUUGUGCAGAUGAUAAUUCAGGAAGCAAUAGAAUGAAUUAUGAAAAUGAUUCAUCUGGAGGUUUAGUUCCAUUAAAUGGAUACCAGGAUGUUGUUAAUGGAGCAGAUAAAGAACAAAAUCUUCAGAAAUGUAGUUCUUCACUUGCACUGAAGAGAGCAGAUACAACAGCGUGUGCAUCUAGAGCUUCUACUGUUUCCAAAGAUUAUUCUGAGGCUACGACUAUGGUGACAGGAGAUGAAGUACAAAAGCAGCAAGAAGGGUCGCAACUGCCAAGUUCGAGGGAGAGUACAGGCAGCCAUGAAAGUUUGUCGGGCAAAGGGGAUUAUGAGUCAAACUCUGUUUCAGAGUGUGAAAUCCAUUGGGAAGACCUUCAAUUAAGAGAAGAGAUUGGACAAGGUUCUUAUGCAACUGUUUAUCAUGGAAUUUGGAAUGGAUCGGAUGUUGCAGUCAAGGUUUAUUUUGGGAACGGAUACACAGAGGAGACUUUACAAGAUUACAGAAAAGAGAUUGAUAUAAUGAAGAGAUUGAGACACCCUAAUGUAUUACUUUUCAUGGGAGCAGUAUAUUCACAGGAAAGGCUUGCCAUUGUUACAGAGUUAUUACCUAGGGGAAGCCUUUUCAAAAAUCUACAUAGGAACAAACAGACAUUAGACAUCAGAAGACGUCUAAGGAUGGCUCUUGAUGUAGCUAGAGGAAUGAAUUAUCUUCAUCACAGAAAUCCACCAAUUGUGCAUCGAGAUCUGAAGUCUUCCAACCUGCUUGUAGAUAAAAACUGGACUGUAAAGGUUGGAGAUUUUGGCCUGUCUAGGUUGAAGGAUGCAACUUUAUUGAAUACAAAAUCUGGGAGAGGCACCGUAAUGACGUCACUCGCUUUUUUCAUUUUUAAAUAUGAAACUUCUGACCUGAACAGCUGGCAACUCCUCAAUGGAUGGCCCCUGAAGUCCUUAGAAACGAACCUUCAAAUGAGAAGUCUGAUGUAUUCAGUUUCGGUGUCAUCCUCUGGGAACUAAUGACUCAAUCUAUUCCGUGGAAAAAUUUGAAUUCCUUACAGGUUGUUGGAGUCGUAGGCUUUAUAGACAGACGACUGGACCUUCCGGAAGACCUUGAUCCCCAUGUUGCGUCAAUCAUCCAUGAUUGCUGGCGAAGUGAUCCAGAUCGACGCCCAUCAUUUGAAGAGCUGAUCCAGAGAACAUUAUUCCUUGUCAACAGAGUAACAGCAGUGUCAAUUAGGAGAAUUGCAGAAUCAUAAACGUUUUAUACGUUUUGGGCUUCGCUUUCUCAAGAUGUGUUUGUUAAAAACAGAUUAUGAGAAGCACAAACAACAAAUUCAGUGGCAACUGGCAACCCUUAAAACAUUCUUCCUUCCGAAUGUAGAAGGAAGAACUCGAGAGAGAGAAACGGAAGAGGUGGGAGUAGGCGAUAAAAAUGCUUAUAAUUUUGUUUGAAGUCUUUGUAAAUAUCGAAUUCCGUGUGCAAUCUUGGAUAUAAGGUUCAAAAAUAUUUUAUUUUGAUCACUGGAGGUGAAGCUGAUCCAUGACGUGCUCCUUCUGGGAUCGGUUACUGAAAUAGUGAAUAGCAGAAUAAUUUCCAUUUUUUGGACGAGCAUUCAAAAUUGAAUCCUUCUGGGUUGCUGGAUUUGACUCCAGAUCCUUUGUGUAACUUA
Vigna unguiculata (cowpea) is the source of this 2982-nucleotide RNA transcript. It is a transcript of the gene named PAS domain-containing protein tyrosine kinase family protein, with no coding region annotated. The record is from RefSeq and is a predicted model, not a curated record. NCBI's taxonomy places the organism in Eukaryota, Viridiplantae, Streptophyta, Magnoliopsida, Fabales, Fabaceae.